GGGAACAUCAUUGAACUAAAAUAUAUGGAACGCUACCUUAACUGAACAUGCCGAGACUUGCCUGAAGCCAAAUUUUACCUCCAGACACGCGUGUCUGGAGGUAAAAUUCACGCGCGUUGUCGCGUUUCCUGCGUGGCGCCGAAGAACAGCGACAGCCAACUCUGGUAGCAACAUGUGAUUGAAAAGGUUUUGAAAAGGAAGGCACUUCUCUUGUUAUGGAGGUAAUCGGUUAAAUUUUCAUUCAAUACAGCAUGAAUCAUAACUUUUCAUACGUGUAUUCGAUCGGUAAAUCGGGGAAAUGAAACAUUUUUUCGUUUAAAUUGAAUGUGUGCACAAACGACAUGGAUUCAGAGAUUCAGAGUGGCAUUGUAAAGUUGUAAACACGUAAGUGCCUUUACUAAAUUUAUUAAAUAUGCGUGAAGCUCAAUCGCAUCUGCAACAGAGUAACUGAAAUUGUAUGUGAUUUGAGGACAGUUUGUUUGCCAGGUUCAAUCCUUCUUGUUCUUGAAUAUUCUGAAGCUCUUCGAUAUGUUUCCAUCUUAUGAUGUUGCCAUCUCCAUCAAUGGGCCAUUCCAUUUAUUAAAUAUACCCAGGCACCCCCUAUUGAGGGGUCCCUUCCAAAUCCCCUUAGGAUAUAAACAUUUUAGAACCCCCUUGGAUGUGAUUUUUGGAAGUUACCCCAUGGAUAUCUUGAUACCCCCUUUACAGACCUCUCAACUUCAACCCCCGUCGCCAAAAAAAUUUCGGUCAGUGUACCAUUUUAG
Paramuricea clavata is the source of this 764-nucleotide non-coding RNA. The record is from the annotation of a GenBank genome assembly. NCBI's taxonomy places the organism in Eukaryota, Metazoa, Cnidaria, Anthozoa, Malacalcyonacea, Plexauridae.